CACGUAGGGUGCGAGCGUUGUCCGGAAUUAUUGGGCGUAAAGAGCGUGUAGGCGGUUCGGUAAGUCUGCCGUGAAAACCUGGGGCUCAACCCCGGGCGUGCGGUGGAUACUGCCGGGCUAGAGGGUGGUAGAGGCGAGUGGAAUUCCCGGUGUAGCGGUGAAAUGCGCAGAUAUCGGGAGGAACACCAAUGGCGAAGGCAGCUCGCUGGGACGGUACUGACGCUGAGACGCGAAAGCGUGGGGAGCAAACAGG
Molecule: ribosomal RNA, 253 nt
Filed under: uncultured bacterium
Lineage: Bacteria
Description: partial 16S ribosomal RNA
Rfam family: Bacterial small subunit ribosomal RNA
Source: RNAcentral